UACGUAGGGUGCGAGCGUUGUCCGGAAUUAUUGGGCGUAAAGAGCUCGUAGGCGGUGUGUUACGUCGGCCGUGAAAACCUGCAGCUUAACUGUGGGCGUGCGGUCGAUACGGGCAUCACUGGAGUUCGGCAGGGGAGACUGGAAUUCCUGGUGUAGCGGUGAAAUGCGCAGAUAUCAGGAGGAACACCGGUGGCGAAGGCAGCCCCCUGGGCUGAGAUUGACGCUCAGGCACGAAAGCGUGGGGAGCAAACAGG
Molecule: ribosomal RNA, 254 nt
Filed under: uncultured bacterium
Lineage: Bacteria
Description: partial 16S ribosomal RNA
Rfam family: Bacterial small subunit ribosomal RNA
Source: RNAcentral